Molecule: long non-coding RNA, 436 nt
Filed under: Chinchilla lanigera (long-tailed chinchilla)
Lineage: Eukaryota; Metazoa; Chordata; Mammalia; Rodentia; Chinchillidae
Description: lncRNA (ENSCLAG00000023702.1)
Source: RNAcentral
CGCGCGGCGGGGCGGGCGGGGAGCGCGGCCGGAGCCCCGAGCAGAGCUGAGCGCGGCGGAGCUCGGGAGCCGCGGCCCGCGCCCUGCGCCGCCGCCUGCUGGUCUGCUCCGGGUGCUCGGCCCCCGGUGCUAAGGCUCGGGUCUAUAAAUAGCAGGUUACAGCUCCUUCUCGGCGCGCACACGCUCACGCGCGAACGCAGGAAAGUCAGCCUAAAAGUGUCUGCCGCCGCCGCCCCCCGCUCAGCCUCCGGGAGAGUCCUGUGAUUUUGUGGAUAAUAUUCUCCGGACUCUAUUUUGGUGGAGAGUAACAGAACCCAAAGAAAUGGUGUUACCUGGCCAGAGAUCUGCUGUCUUUUAUGAAAAGUCAGACCAAGGUUAGUGCUGCUUAUUUUUGAUAUGUUUUUAGUCUGUUUACCACAUGAAACUAUUGACUUUC